AACGAACGCUGGCGGCGUGCUUAACACAUGCAAGUCGAACGGAAAGGCCCUGCUUUUGUGGGGUGCUCGAGUUGCGAACGGGUGAGUAACCCGUGAGUAACCUGCCCUUGACUUUGGGAUAACUUCAGGAAACUGGGGCUAAUACCGGAUAGGAGCUCCUGCUGCAUGGUGGGGGUUGGAAAGUUUCGGCGGUUGGUGAUGGACUCGCGUCUUAUCAGCUUGUUGGUGGGGUAGUGGCUUACCAAGGCUUGGACGGGUAGCCGGGCUGGGAGGAGGACCGGCCACACUGGGACUGAGAUACGGCACAGACUCGUACGGGAGGCAGGAGUGGAGAAGAGUGUACAAUGGGCGGAAGCCUGGUGUAGCAACGCCGCGUGCGGUGUGACGGCCAUCGGGUUGUAUUCCGAUGCCGCUUGAGACGAGGCGUGAGUGACGGUAAUGGGUAAAGAAGCACCGGCUAACUACGUG
RNAcentral lists this ribosomal RNA (468 nucleotides) under uncultured bacterium. Its description in RNAcentral is "partial 16S ribosomal RNA". It matches the Rfam family "Bacterial small subunit ribosomal RNA", at positions 28 to 507 of the family's 1533-position model. The record is from RNAcentral.